AUGAGCACCUCCUCCGCCCGCCGCUCCUCGCCGCCGGCGAGGCCGGCGGCUUCCUCGUCCGGCCAGAAGCGUGCGAGGGGCGACGAUGAUCCCGGCACGUCGCUCGUUUCCAACGCCGACCCCGCCUCCGUCCCAGCCCCCGCCCAGAACCCUCGCCGCGCCUUCGCCUCCUCCCCGUUCGCCGACUUCGGGAGCUACAUGUCCGCGAAGAACAGCAAGCUCUCCGCGCAGUUCGACGCCGACGCCUCCACCUCCGCCGCCGCGGCGCCCGGGGCCCUGUUCGCGGGCGUCUCCAUCUUCGUCGACGGAUUCACCGUCCCCUCUAGCCAGGAGCUGAAGGAGAUUAUGCUGAACAACGGUGGCCGGUUCGUCAACUACUUCUCCAGGCACACGGUGACGCACAUCGUCUGCACACACCUCCCGGAGAGCAAAAUGCGGAAUAUGAGAGCAUUCAGCAAGGGUCUUCCUGUUGUCAAGCCGGGGUGGGUGGUGGAUUCCCUUGCAGAGAACCGGCUCCUCAGCUGGGUUCCAUACCAAAUAAGUCAGCAUAAUUCUUCAAGCCGAAAGCAGAUGAAGCUUUCUGCUUUCUUUUCUGGGAAACAAAAUGGAAUACAGUACCAGAGCAAUCAAAAUGAUGAUAACAAAGACCUUGAGUUCCAAACUUCUUCUGCUCAGGAGGGAUCACGUGACCAAACCGAGUCUUGUGAACAGCAAGGGCCAUUACUGAAUGUGGAGGUAUCAGAAGACUCACUAUCCUCAGAUGAACAUAGAGUUCCAUUAAUGAAUGUGGAAGUAGCAGAGGACUCACUAUCCUCAGAUGAACAUGGAGUUCCAUUGAUGAAUGUGGAGGUAGCAGAGGACUCACUAUCCUCAGAUGAACAUGGAGUUUCAACAUUUGAAGAACGAGAUGGUGAAGAUUUUGCAGUGGAUGAGGAUGAUAAUGCCUGUAAAAUAGCAUUUUCAGAAAGUAUGGAUAAUGACAUGGAUCCUGAACUUCAUGUGGCUCAGUCUCCUGAUGCUACUUCAAGGUUUUCAGAUGUAUGCGGUACAGGCUCUGUGGGCAGCCAUUUGUCAAUUGGUUCAUUGGAGAAAGAUACAGCUAAAUCUUCUAGCCGGUCACAUUCAACCCUGACAGAUCCUAAUUUUGUAGAGAAUUAUUUCAAGCAUUCUCGACUGCAUUUCAUUGGGACUUGGCGAAAUCGCUACCGCAAGCGCUUCUCAAAUUUACCUGGAGCUAAAAGCAGUAAGGGCAACAAUGAUCAUUCAGGGAAGAAGAAAACAAUCAUUCAUAUUGAUAUGGACUGCUUUUUUGUAUCUGUCGUCAUCAGAAAUAGGCCAGAGCUGCACGAUAAGCCGGUAGCAGUUUGUCAUUCCGACAAUCCUAAAGGAACUGCAGAAAUAUCAUCUGCAAACUACCCUGCACGAAACUAUGGGAUAAAGGCUGGCAUGUUCGUUAGAGAUGCCAAAGCUCGGUGCCCUCACCUAACGGUUGUUCCUUAUAACUUCGAUGCAUACGGGGAGGUUGCGGAUCAGUUCUAUGGUAUUUUGCAUAAAUAUUGCACUAAGGUUCAGGCUUUGAGCUGUGAUGAAGCUUUUUUGGACAUGACGGAAUGCUUACACGAUAAUCCAGAGGAAGUUACAGAAAGAAUGAGAAAUGAAAUUUUUGGUACAACGAAGUGCACUGCCAGUGCAGGUAUUGCUGAAAACAGGCUCCUAGCCCGAUUAGCCACCAGAUCUGCAAAGCCGAACGGACAGUUAUUUAUUUCAUCUGAGAAGGUUGAUGAUUAUUUGAGUACCCUCCCUAUCAAAGCACUUCCAGGCAUUGGUUAUACUGUUUCCGAUAAACUGAAAAGCAAUGAAGUUGAACACUGUGGUCAGCUUCGCAACAUUUCGAAGGAUGCUCUCCAUAAGGACUUCGGAAAAAAGAUCAGUAAUAUGCUAUGGAACUAUUGCAGAGGAAUUGAUCAUUCAGUUGUUGAAGCUGUUCAGGAAACAAAAUCUGUGGGUGCCGAAGUCAAUUGGGGAGUCAGAUUUAAUGAGAACAAAGAUGCUGAUAAUUUUCUAGUCAACCUCAGCAAGGAGGUUUCUUUACGCUUACAAGGAUGUGGACUACAGGGCCGUACUAUUACCCUUAAGGUGAAAACAAGAAGGAAAGGUGCUGGAGAGCCACUAAAAUUUAUGGGGUGUGGUGACUGCGAAACCAUGAGUCGCUCUACCACGAUGACAGGUGCAACUGACAAUUUAGUCACGCUUCAGAGAAUUGCAAGACAAUUGUUUGCAGCUUUGCAUGUUGAUGUGAAGGAAGUGCGGGGAGUUGGACUAAAAAUGUCAAAGCUUGAGCAUGCAGAUUUAGGUCGCGGAGCACAACAAGGGAAUAUGCUUAAAUCAUGGCUUGGUUCAUCAUCUGAGAAGCUCAAGAAACAAUGCAGUGAGAGAACCUGCUUUCUUGGGAACAGUGAUGGUGCAGGAGCCACUACCAGUGAGGUGCGAAAUUUGGGAAGCUCCAGAUCAUCACUUACAGGUGUUGCAUCCGACUUGUCAAAGGUGAAGCUUACAAGUGGUAGGUCUACCAGAGUUCAUGCCGCUGAGUUGCCACCAUUAUCUGAACUUGAUUUGGAGGUCCUCAAGAACCUUCCUCCAGAGAUAAUAUCUGAAAUGAAUGACAUGUAUAAGGGAGAAUUGCAUGGUUUUCUGUGCACGAUAAAGGGCGAUGAAGGCAAGGAAAGCAAUUCAAAAUCUCGUGUUUUACCCGCCGUUAACCAGAACUCUGUACCUGUUUGUAAUGCAAGGUUGCACCAGUAUGGAGAGCGCACUGACUCCAUUCAUUUGGAAAAACGGAAUAAUAUUAAGGGGGCAUCAGACCAGGAAGUUCAAACUGCCCAUGCUUCGUGCUCAAGAGCCAAUGAAUUGAUUGAUACAGAGAGUGUCACGCGGCUUGAUUUCAUGCCUAAUUCUCUAAGCCAGGCAGACUUCACAGUUUUGCAGGAAUUACCCGAGGAUGUCAAGGCUGAUUUGUUCAAUGUGCUUCCAUUACAUAGGCCAAUAGAUCCUACAUGCCGCACUUCAAAUGUUACUGAAAAUAAAUCUCUGAAGAAUGGAGGAACUGAUGAUCCAAAAAAUCCAGUGAUUUGUGUUCUGCCAGGAAGUUCUCAGAAAUGGGCGGAACAGUUAAGAGUUAGCAGUUCCCUACUAUUGAAUGCCAUUGCAGAGCAACACGCAAAUUCUAUCUCAAGUCAACCUUUAUCUUCAAUUUUAGAGCAUGUUGCUUCCCUCCUCCCUCUGUGUCCUACCCCAGGUAGCGAAGAAUGGAGCGACACACUCUCCCGACUCUCUGUUCUUCUUACGGAGUAUAUACACCUGAAAGUUGAUUCUGAUAUUGAAGAGCUGUACAAAUGUUUCCUUCUUUUGAAAAGGUUCUCGUCAGCAUCUGAGCUUUUUCUGGAAUUGCACAACAGCAUUCUUCCUUUACUACAGGAUUCCAUCACUCAGCAUUAUGGUGGGACACUGCGUCUCUAG
Molecule: ribosomal RNA, 3516 nt
Filed under: Triticum aestivum (bread wheat)
Lineage: Eukaryota; Viridiplantae; Streptophyta; Magnoliopsida; Poales; Poaceae
Description: partial small subunit ribosomal RNA
Source: RNAcentral